GUAGGAUAGAAAUAAAUUAUAUUAGUUUAAAGUUAAAUGAGAAGAGAUAAAGAAAGAGGUUAAAUUAUUUUUAUAGGUAAAAUUUGUAAAAUUAAUUAAUUUUUUUAGAUAGAAAAUUGAAGCUUUUAAAAUUGGAGUGGAGACUAGGAUUAGAUACCCUAUUAUUCUAAUUGUAAAAGUAUAGGCUGGAGUAGUAUUAGUUAAGUUCUUGAAACUCAAAGAAUUUGGCGGUGUCUUAGUCUUUUCAGAGGAAUCUGUCCUAUAAUUGAUAUUACACGUUAAAUGUUACUUAAUUUGGUAUAAUCAACUUGUAUACCGCCGUCAUCAGAUCAUCUUUUUAGAGAGAGAAUUUUCUUAAUAUUGUAAGAUAAUAUGUCAGGUCAAGGUGCAGUUUAUAGUUAAGAAGGAGAUGGAUUACAAUAAAUUUAUUUAAAUGGAUUCCUUGCUGUGAGGUGAGGCUGAAGGUGGAUUUGAAGGUAAUUUUGUUAAAUUAUGAUAAAAUGAUUGAAGCUCUAGGACAUGUACACAUCGCCCGUCGCUCUCGUUAUUAAGAUGAGAUAAGUCGUAACAUAGUAGUCGUAUUGGAAAAUGUGGCUAGAAAGUCAA
RNAcentral lists this ribosomal RNA (606 nucleotides) under Phonochorion satunini. RNAcentral's name for it is "partial 12S ribosomal RNA". The stretch from base 188 to 597 matches the Rfam family "Microsporidia small subunit ribosomal RNA", at positions 751 to 1303 of the family's 1311-position model. Lineage: Eukaryota; Metazoa; Arthropoda; Insecta; Orthoptera; Tettigoniidae. The record is from RNAcentral.